This 1621-nucleotide ribosomal RNA is filed under the name Escherichia coli. RNAcentral describes it as "partial 23S ribosomal RNA". It matches the Rfam family "Bacterial large subunit ribosomal RNA", at positions 1 to 1657 of the family's 2925-position model. The record is from RNAcentral. Lineage: Bacteria; Pseudomonadati; Pseudomonadota; Gammaproteobacteria; Enterobacterales; Enterobacteriaceae.
GGGUUGUGAGGUUAAGCGACUAAGCGUACACGGUGGAUGCCCUGGCAGUCAGAGGCGAUGAAGGACGUGCUAAUCUGCGAUAAGCGUCGGUGAGGUGAUAUGAACCGUUAUAACCGGCGAUUUCCGAAUGGGGAAACCCAGUGUGUUUCGACACACUAUCAUUAACUGAAUCCAUAGGUUAAUGAGGCGAACCGGGGGAACUGAAACAUCUAAGUACCCCGAGGAAAAGAAAUCAACCGAGAUUCCCCCAGUAGCGGCGAGCGAACGGGGAGGAGCCCAGAGCCUGAAUCAGUGUGUGUGUUAGUGGAAGCGUCUGGAAAGGCGUGCGAUACAGGGUGACAGCCCCGUACACAAAAAUGCACAUAUUGUGAGCUCGAUGAGUAGGGCGGGACACGUGGUAUCCUGUCUGAAUAUGGGGGGACCAUCCUCCAAGGCUAAAUACUCCUGACUGACCGAUAGUGAACCAGUACCGUGAGGGAAAGGCGAAAAGAACCCCGGCGAGGGGAGUGAAAAAGAACCUGAAACCGUGUACGUACAAGCAGUGGGAGCCUCUUAAUGGGGUGACUGCGUACCUUUUGUAUAAUGGGUCAGCGACUUAUAUUCUGUAGCAAGGUUAACCGAAUAGGGGAGCCGAAGGGAAACCGAGUCUUAACUGGGCGUUAAGUUGCAGGGUAUAGACCCGAAACCCGGUGAUCUAGCCAUGGGCAGGUUGAAGGUUGGGUAACACUAACUGGAGGACCGAACCGACUAAUGUUGAAAAAUUAGCGGAUGACUUGUGGCUGGGGGUGAAAGGCCAAUCAAACCGGGAGAUAGCUGGUUCUCCCCGAAAGCUAUUUAGGUAGCGCCUCGUGAAUUCAUCUCCGGGGGUAGAGCACUGUUUCGGCAAGGGGGUCAUCCCGACUUACCAACCCGAUGCAAACUGCGAAUACCGGAGAAUGUUAUCACGGGAGACACACGGCGGGUGCUAACGUCCGUCGUGAAGAGGGAAACAACCCAGACCGCCAGCUAAGGUCCCAAAGUCAUGGUUAAGUGGGAAACGAUGUGGGAAGGCCCAGACAGCCAGGAUGUUGGCUUAGAAGCAGCCAUCAUUUAAAGAAAGCGUAAUAGCUCACUGGUCGAGUCGGCCUGCGCGGAAGAUGUAACGGGGCUAAACCAUGCACCGAAGCUGCGGCAGCGACACUAUGUGUUGUUGGGUAGGGGAGCGUUCUGUAAGCCUGUGAAGGUGGCCUGUGAGGGUUGCUGGAGGUAUCAGAAGUGCGAAUGCUGACAUAAGUAACGAUAAAGCGGGUGAAAAGCCCGCUCGCCGGAAGACCAAGGGUUCCUGUCCAACGUUAAUCGGGGCAGGGUGAGUCGACCCCUAAGGCGAGGCCGAAAGGCGUAGUCGAUGGGAAACAGGUUAAUAUUCCUGUACUUGGUGUUACUGCGAAGGGGGGACGGAGAAGGCUAUGUUGGCCGGGCGACGGUUGUCCCGGUUUAAGCGUGUAGGCUGGUUUUCCAGGCAAAUCCGGAAAACCAAGGCUGAGGCGUGAUGACGAGGCACUACGGUGCUGAAGUGACAAAUGCCCUGCUUCCAGGAAAAGCCUCUAAGCAUCAGGUAACAUCAAAUCGUACCCCAAACCGA